GUUUCUGUAGUGUAGUGGUUAUCAAGUUGGCUUCACACGCAAAAGGUCUCUGGUUCAAAACCAGACAGAAACA
Non-coding RNA from Poecilia formosa (Amazon molly), 73 nucleotides. NCBI's taxonomy places the organism in Eukaryota, Metazoa, Chordata, Actinopteri, Cyprinodontiformes, Poeciliidae. The record is from Rfam.